Molecule: long non-coding RNA, 1308 nt
Organism: Neoarius graeffei (lesser salmon catfish)
Lineage: Eukaryota; Metazoa; Chordata; Actinopteri; Siluriformes; Ariidae
Exons: 3
Source: RefSeq, a predicted model, not a curated record
CUUCUACAGGCUUUCACUCACAGAUGAAACAUUCUGUUCGGUUUAAGUUCAAUCCAGGUUACCAGAGUUCUGCACAAAACUGUAAACAUAUUGUGUGACUCCAGUUUGGUUUUCAGUCAGUUAUUUUCCUCUGGGUCAUCAGUGGUGUUGCACUUAAAGAAGCAGAAGAGAGAACAAGCCAUGGACAUGUACGGCUGUUACCGACCUUUUCCCAGAUGGUAUUUUUAUAAAAACAAAAUGAUAAUCCGUGAUUCCAUCUUCUUCAUCACUGGUGAAUGUGCGGGUUUUCCAGCUCUGCUUUGGGCUUUCAGUAUUCUGUUCCAACAUCAUAAGAGUGGAGGUGGAAUCUCCUUCAUUGCCAUCUUCCUCCUCCUCAGUGACCUGCUGGAGCUGAUUCUGAGUCCAGUUUUAAUGUACAUUUGCAAAGGAGAGAGUAUUUGUAUAAUUGUGAGAGAACUGUUAUUGGGAGUGAGGCUCUGUGGGCAUCUACUUCACCAGCUGGUGGCAUUAGAAAGUAUUCUUACUCAAAAACAUCCAUCACUUGCUGUUCUUUUCUCCCGAACCUGCUCUGUUAUCCUAUGCAUCUUUGUGUGUGUGUUAGCAAUUGGGUUCCAGUUCCUUCCAAUAUACUUGCCUGUUAUAAAUGUAUUUUUGUGUGUGUUACCUGUAAAUGUGUGUGUAGUCACCUGUAUAGUGACUUGUAACGCCUCUGCUGACACCAACCAGGCCACAGACAGGAAGCCAGGCGUGUUAGUGCUAAGUGUUGCCAUGUUUACUCUGAUCAUUUUAUAUGUGCCAUUUUACUUGCAUUGUUUUUUUUAUCUACCUUUUAUGUUUGAGGUUCUGGUGAGUAUGAGGCUGAUUUCAGAGCCCCUCCUCUGUGCUCUCGUCUGCAGGGAAAAUCGCAGACAUCCCAAGUCUCCUGGAAGUUCCGGGAGUCUCCCGCAUAUUGAUAGCGGCUCCCUGAUGCCCGCAAACCGGAGAAUAUCUCCCGGAAUCUAGAGCAAGAGCGCGCACGCGCAACAUUAAUGUCUGCAUCGCGCAUGUGACGGAGCGCGAGAGAGACUGCGUGUGCGCCUGUUCCUGUAGCGCAUGCUCGACAAAGAGCAUCCUGAUUGGCUUAUUUUGCUGAGUCAACCAAUCAGCUUUUUUUUUGGGGGGGGGGCAUAGAUAUACAUAGAAGACUAGAUGCCUCGUCCCCGUUGCCCGUCAGCGAAGUCGAACGUCCGCACAUGGCGGCCAUCUUACCUCAGACAGCUGGCUUACCCAUUACAUUGUGUUGGUAGCGAUAUGUACUUUUCAGAUGAC